RNAcentral lists this ribosomal RNA (496 nucleotides) under uncultured bacterium. RNAcentral's name for it is "partial 16S ribosomal RNA". It matches the Rfam family "Bacterial small subunit ribosomal RNA", at positions 28 to 506 of the family's 1533-position model. The record is from RNAcentral.
GAUGAACGCUGGCGGCGUGCCUAAUACAUGCAAGCCGAGCGAACAGACUAGGAGCUUGCUCCUCUUACGUUAGCGGCGGACGGGUGAGUAACACGUGGAUAACCUACCUAUAAGACUGGGAUAACUUCGGGAAACCGGAGCUAAUACCGGAUAAUAUCUUUAACCGCAUGGUUCAAUAGUGAAAGACGGUUUUGCUUUCACUUAUAGAUGGAUCCGCGCCGCAUUAGCUAGUUGGUAAGGUAACGGCUUACCAAGGCAACGAUGCGUAGCCGACCUGAGAGGGUGAUCGGCCACACUGGAACUGAGACACGGUCCAGACUCCUACGGGAGGCAGCAGUAGGGAAUUUUCCGAAAUGGGCGAAAGCCUGACGGAGCAACGCCGCGUGAGUGAUGAAGGUCUUCGGAUCGUAAAACUCUGUUAUUAGGGAAGAACAAAUGUGUAAGUAAAUAUGAACGUCUUGACGGUACCUAAGCAGAAAGCAACGGCUAACUACGU